GGAUCGAUAGCUCAGUGGUAGAGCGAGAGAUUGCAGUUGACCCACAAAUAUCUCUAGGUCACGUGUUCGAACCACGUUCGGUCCU
RNAcentral lists this transfer RNA (85 nucleotides) under Exophiala mesophila. RNAcentral describes it as "partial tRNA-Cys". It matches the Rfam family "tRNA". Rfam says of the family: Transfer RNA (tRNA) molecules are approximately 80 nucleotides in length. Their secondary structure includes four short double-helical elements and three loops (D, anti-codon, and T loops). The record is from RNAcentral. Lineage: Eukaryota; Fungi; Ascomycota; Eurotiomycetes; Chaetothyriales; Herpotrichiellaceae.